GAUGAACGCUGGCGGCGUGCUUAACACAUGCAAGUCGAACGAUGAAGCCCAGCUUGCUGGGUGGAUUAGUGGCGAACGGGUGAGUAACACGUGAGUAACCUGCCCUUAACUCUGGGAUAAGCCUGGGAAACUGGGUCUAAUACCGGAUAGGAGCGUCCACCGCAUGGUGGGUGUUGGAAAGAUUUAUCGGUUUUGGAUGGACUCGCGGCCUAUCAGCUUGUUGGUGAGGUAAUGGCUCACCAAGGCGACGACGGGUAGCCGGCCUGAGAGGGUGACCGGCCACACUGGGACUGAGACACGGCCCAGACUCCUACGGGAGGCAGCAGUGGGGAAUAUUGCACAAUGGGCGCAAGCCUGAUGCAGCGACGCCGCGUGAGGGAUGACGGCCUUCGGGUUGUAAACC
Molecule: ribosomal RNA, 403 nt
Filed under: Micrococcus sp. M-A-1
Lineage: Bacteria; Bacillati; Actinomycetota; Actinomycetes; Micrococcales; Micrococcaceae
Description: bacterial SSU rRNA
Rfam family: Bacterial small subunit ribosomal RNA
Source: RNAcentral